This 1358-nucleotide long non-coding RNA is filed under the name Taeniopygia guttata (zebra finch). RNAcentral describes it as "lncRNA (ENSTGUG00000028138.1)". Lineage: Eukaryota; Metazoa; Chordata; Aves; Passeriformes; Estrildidae. The record is from RNAcentral.
GUGCCCCUGCAGGGACGGCUGCUGGUGCUCCCCACACAAGUGCCAAUGUUUGUAUGGAUCCCACGGCCCCUCCUUCCCACCUCUCCCUCCUCUCCCGUCGUGUCUCACCGCCUCCCUCAGCCCCCUCUGCCUUAGUCAGCUCUGCCUUCUUUUGCUCCAAAAGCCUGAAUGUUUUGCACUUGAAUAUAAAAAGUUCCUCUCAGAGCUCAGGAGGUUGUGCCAGGUGUGCAGCCCUGCCAGCAAUAGGUGCUUCCUCAUCUCCUGUUCCCAGCAAUCCCUGUUCUGUUCCCUUAUCUCCUUUCUCAGCAAUCCCAGUUCUGUUCCCUUAUCUCCUUUCUCAGCAAUCCCUGUUCUGUUCCCUUAUCUCCUUUCUCAGCAAUCCCUGUUCCCUCCUUUCCAGCCUUUCCAGCAAUAGGUGCUUCCACAUUUCUUGCCUUUCUAGCAAUACCUGUUCUCCUCCCUCACCUCCUGCCUUUCCAGCAAUUCCUGUUCUAUUCCUUCAUCUCCUGCCUUUCCAGCAAUGGGUGCUUCCAUAGCUCCCAUUUCCAGCAAUAUCUGCUCUUUCCAUCUCCUGCUUCCAGCAAUACCUGUUCCUCACCUCCUGCCUUUCCAGCAAUAGGUGCUUCCACACCUCCUGCCUUUUCAGCAAUUCCUGUUUUAUUCCCUCAUCUCCUGCCUUUCCAGCAAUAGGUGCUUCCACACCUCCUGCCUUUCUAGCAAUACCUAUUUUAUUCUCUCACCUCCUGCCUUUUCAGCAAUUCCUGUUUUAUUCCCUCAUCUCCUGCCUUUUCAGCAAUGGGUGUUUCCGCACCUCUGCCUUUCUAGCAAUAGUGGUUCUGUUUCCCUCUCUCCUGCCCUUGCAGCAGUGGUGUUUCCCUCUGUCCUGCCCUUGCAGCAGUGGUGUUUCCAUCUCUCCUGCCCUUGCAGCAGUGGUGUUUCCCUCUCUCCUGCCUCUCCAGCAGAACUGCUCCCCCAUCUCCCGUUUGCAGCCAUCCCUGCCCCUCCCAGCCCCAGGAGCCCAGGUGAGCAGGGGUCCCUUCCCUUGCUGCUGGAGCUGAGUGGGGCAGCGAUGGAGGCUCCGUGUCUGUCCCGCAGUGACAGGACCAGCAGGUCCCUCCCAGUUCAGCGGGUCCCUCCCAGUUCAGCGGGUCCCUCCUGUGCUGGGAAAGGUGUCUGACAGAUGCUCCUGUCUCUGUUCUCUGUUUCCCCGCCCUGCUGGGCUGGAGAUUUGGGGUUUCCCCCUCAGCACACAGAAUUUUUGUGCAGAAGAGCAGCCCAGCAGCACUGGGGUGGAGGCUGUAGUGCUGCUGUUAACCCCCCACCUCCCAAGGGAACGCUUUGGAGGACCUAAGUGCUUC